This 77-nucleotide transfer RNA is filed under the name Alphaproteobacteria bacterium. RNAcentral describes it as "tRNA-Arg". It matches the Rfam family "tRNA". Rfam says of the family: Transfer RNA (tRNA) molecules are approximately 80 nucleotides in length. Their secondary structure includes four short double-helical elements and three loops (D, anti-codon, and T loops). The record is from RNAcentral. Lineage: Bacteria; Pseudomonadati; Pseudomonadota; Alphaproteobacteria.
GGUCCCGUAGCUCAAUCGGAUAGAGCAACUGCCUUCUAAGCAGUAGGUUGCAGGUUCGAGUCCUGCCGGGAUCGCCA